RNAcentral lists this transfer RNA (76 nucleotides) under Oscillospiraceae bacterium. RNAcentral's name for it is "tRNA-Arg". It matches the Rfam family "tRNA". Rfam says of the family: Transfer RNA (tRNA) molecules are approximately 80 nucleotides in length. Their secondary structure includes four short double-helical elements and three loops (D, anti-codon, and T loops). Lineage: Bacteria; Bacillati; Bacillota; Clostridia; Eubacteriales; Oscillospiraceae. The record is from RNAcentral.
GCGCCUGUAGCUCAAUGGAUAGAGUACAUGUUUCCGGGGCAUGGUGUUAGGGGUUCGAGUCCCUUCAGGCGCGCCA